GUUAUAUCUCUUGCUAAUUUAUAUUAUGGAGAAUUUAGUUAUAUUUGAAAAAUAAUUUAUUGAGAUAAUUAAUAGUCAUUGUUGAUGAAUAUAGGUUAUAUGAGCUAAAGAAAAGAGUACUGUGAAGGAAAGAUUUAAGUAAAUUUAAAGAAGUAAAGUAGAAAUAUAUUUUUGUACCUUGUGUAUUAGGGAGAGUCAAUAUUGUAUUAAGUAUUAUUAAAUAUCCUGAAAUGAAAAUAGCUAAUUUUAUAAAAAAGUUUUUGUGUUAUAAAAAUUUUGAAUAUAAAAUUAGAAGUGAAAUGUUAGUCGAGUUUUAUAAUAUCCGGUUCUUUAAGAAGUAAAUUUAAUUUGGGUUUUAUAGAUGGGUAAAAUGUAAGAGAAAAAAAUAGAAGGGGAGAGCUUUUUAUUUAAAGGAAAAUAGCUGGAAAUGAAGUAAAAUGGUUAAUCUAAGCUUAGGAGUAGCUAUGUUUAUAGAGUGUUAUAACUAAGGGUAGUUAUUAAAUAUUAUUUUUAUAAAGCUUUAUAGUAAAUAUUAAAGAUUUGUUUGGAAUUUUAUAUGAUAAGGUAAGAUGGGUGUAUUAGUAGAAAUAGAUUGUAUUUGGAUCAGAAAUUAAAUUAAAUAAUAAAGGAAAUUAUUUAAUAGUUAGAUAAUAUAGAGGAAUUUGGCAAAAAUUUUCUUUGCCUGUUUAUCAAAAACAUGUUUGUUUGAAGUUAUAAAGAAUCUGACCUGCCCCCUGAAUGAUGGGUUAAAGGGCCGCAGUAUUAUAACUGUGCAAAGGUAGCAUAAUCAUUAGGUUUUUAAUUGAAAUCUUGUAUGAAUGGUUGGACAAAAGAAAGUCUCUCUUUAUAUUAAAAUUUGAAUUUAACUUUUAAGUGAAAAGGCUUAAAUAUCCUAGAGGGACGAUAAGACCCUAUAAAACUUUACAUUGUAAUUUUAUUUUAAUUGAAUUUAUAAAUAAAGAUUUAAUAAGAUUAUUUGUUGUGUUGGGGAGACAUGAGUAAAAUAUUGUUUUAACUGCUUUAUAAAUAAUACAAUUAUUAGUGCGUAGGUGAGAGAUCCUUUUUAAAGAUUAAUAGAUUAAGUUACUUUAGGGAUAACAGCGUAAUUUCUUUUGAGAGCUCUUAUCGAAAAAGAAGAUUGCGACCUCGAUGUUGAAUUAAAAGUAUCUGUAUAAUGUAGGAGUUAUAUAAGAAGGUCUGUUCGACCUUAAAAAUUUUACAUGAUUUGAGUUCAAACCGGUGUAAGCCAGGUUGGUUUCUAUCUUUUAGGUAAUAAAUUGACUAUUUUAGUACGAAAGGAGUAAAUAGUUAAAAUAAUUUUAUAGUU
Molecule: ribosomal RNA, 1327 nt
Filed under: Bottapotamon lingchuanense
Lineage: Eukaryota; Metazoa; Arthropoda; Malacostraca; Decapoda; Potamidae
Description: 16S ribosomal RNA
Rfam family: Archaeal large subunit ribosomal RNA (bases 600-1327)
Source: RNAcentral